RNAcentral lists this ribosomal RNA (442 nucleotides) under microcytid environmental sample. Its description in RNAcentral is "SSU rRNA". It matches the Rfam family "Eukaryotic small subunit ribosomal RNA", at positions 979 to 1475 of the family's 1831-position model. The record is from RNAcentral. Lineage: Eukaryota; Endomyxa; Ascetosporea; Mikrocytida; Mikrocytiidae.
AAGGACCAAAGUUAGGGUAUCGAUAGAGAUUAGAGACCUCUGUAGUCCUAACCACAAACUUUGCUGACUGGUCGUGCGCGCCGCUCCGCCUAGGCAGCGGUGGCGUGUGCGUCCUAAGCGAAAGCAUAGUCUUCGAGUCUCUUGGAGAGUAUGCCCGCAAGAGUGAAAUUUAAAAGUCUUGGCGGGAUCUCAUACAUGAACUGGAGCCUGCGGCUUAAUUCUAUUCAACACGCGGAAACUUACCAGGGCCACGGCACGUGUGAGUGCGCGGCUGACUGCCGCGGACGAUUGUGUCUGGGGUUGUGCAUGGCCACCCGAAGCCGAUGGAGUGAUCUUUUGGUUAAGUCCGUGAAUCGGUGAGACCCGACCGCCCAGUUAUGCCUGGGCGCACUGGCCGCGCAAGCGGUAGGGAGGAAGGUCUAAGGUAGGUCCGUGAUGCAAA